GGAGGAUGAUGUGGUCGAAUUUGGGAUUAAUUGGAGGAAAUUUGGCGCAUGAAAUGAUGAGAUAACCAUGUAUUUAGGGGUCAAAACAAGGCUUUGAACCCAACCGUAAGAACCAGGGGCCUAUUUGUGAAGAUUUCUAGGUGGUGGAGGGACAUAUCCAUGAGAAUUUCUUGAGAGUGGUGGGAGGACUGGUUGGUGAAUAUGGGAAAGGUGGGGGUUAGAUCGAAAAGGGGGUGUUUUUCUUCUUCUCUUUCCUUGGUUCAGGAACAGAGAAGGUGGGGGAGGGGAUUCCAGCGGUGGGCCGGCCGGCCGGGCCUCGCCGGCGGUGAGCCGAGUGGUGGGGGAGGUAGAGGAGGGUGAGGGGGUUCCGUUUGUGCCUUCACCUUGGGCGAGCGGCGGUAAGGAAGGGGGUGCCGGUGGUGGCUUAGUGGUGGUGGCGCGCGGCGCUUUGGUGGCGGCGGUGUUUGGCGAGGGGCGGCGCACGGGAGGUAGGGGCGAUGAGUUGGGUGGCGAAGGAGGCCGGGCGUCGCCUCCCCUUUGAUAGGCAGCGGGAGGAGUAGGGGAAAAUGGUGCUCGUAGGGCUCGGAUCGGCGCACAGGCAGCGUUGGGGAGGCGUCGACG
RNAcentral lists this long non-coding RNA (621 nucleotides) under Setaria viridis. RNAcentral describes it as "long non-coding RNA (SVIR_LNC002916)". The record is from RNAcentral. Lineage: Eukaryota; Viridiplantae; Streptophyta; Magnoliopsida; Poales; Poaceae.